GACGAACGCUGGCGGCGUGCUUAACACAUGCAAGUCGAACGGAAAGGCCCUGCUUUUGUGGGGUGCUCGAGUGGCGAACGGGUGAGUAAAACGUGAGUAACCUGCCCUUGACUUUGGGAUAACUUCAGGAAACUGGGGCUAAUACCGGAUAGGAGCUCCUGCUGCAUGGUGGGGGUUGGAAAGUUUCGGCGGUUGGGGAUGGACUCGCGGCUUAUCAGCUUGUUGGUGGGGUAGGGGCUUACCAAGGCUUUGACGGGUAGCCGGCCUGAGAGGGUGACCGGCCACAUUGGGCCUGAGAUACGGCCCAGACUCCUACGGGAGGCAGCAGUGGGGAAUAUUGCACAAUGGGCGGAAGCCUGAUGCAGCAACGCCGCGUGCGGGAUGACGGCCUUCUGGUUGUAAACCGCUUUCGCCUGUGACGAAGCGUGAGUGACGGUAAUGGGUAAAGAAGCACCGGCUAACUACGUG
RNAcentral lists this ribosomal RNA (468 nucleotides) under uncultured bacterium. RNAcentral describes it as "partial 16S ribosomal RNA". It matches the Rfam family "Bacterial small subunit ribosomal RNA", at positions 28 to 507 of the family's 1533-position model. The record is from RNAcentral.